ACGGAUGCAGUUAGCAAUGCUUCUGUGAGAUUCAGGCGGUCGCUCGGCCAGACGUGCAGUUGGUGGAUCUGAAUGGACUAUCGCUGCGCGGCCGGGUCCUGUGCCCGUCGCACUUCUCGCUGGAGCGCGUCAACAGCUGCUGAGCGUGGCCCACACGGUUCAGUGGAAGGUGAGCGACCAGCUCGCUGGUCGUUGUUAUAGCCGCUGGCACCCAGGUUGCGUUUGGCAGAGGGGAGCGGUGCAUGCUCUCCCUUUUUGCGGAGGGCUGGCGUCCUGUUCCGUUCAUGUAGCUGGCUUGGAUGCACUGCGUGCAGUACGUUCUCGCCGGUGAAAUGGCGUGCAGUCAACGCACACGAUGCACCAUGGUUGUUGGCGGCCAWAUGGCUUUAUCCGACCCGUCUUGAAACACGGACCAAGGAGUCUAACAUGUGCGCAAGUCCUGGGGUGACCGAAACCCAGAGGCGCAAUGAAAGUGAAGGCCACUCCGAGUGGCCGAGGUGAGAUCCUUGCUCUACGCGGGUGAGGCGCAUCAUCGACCGACCUAUUCUACUCUUAGGAAGGUUUGAGUAAGAGCGUACAUGCUGGGACCCGAAAGAU
This 597-nucleotide ribosomal RNA is filed under the name Aurelia cebimarensis. RNAcentral's name for it is "partial large subunit ribosomal RNA". Lineage: Eukaryota; Metazoa; Cnidaria; Scyphozoa; Semaeostomeae; Ulmaridae. The record is from RNAcentral.